GGGCCUGUAACUCGGCGCUGUCCUGCCCAUAUGCAGUGGUCGCAUUUACAAGGUCGCCUCGGUUUGGCAUUGAGUUUACUCACGAUUUCACCAGACUACGAAUCUGAGGGUCAGAGGUUCGAAUCCUUUCGGGCGCGCCA
This 140-nucleotide transfer RNA is filed under the name Allobosea rubneri. Its description in RNAcentral is "Bosea rubneri tRNA-Ser". Lineage: Bacteria; Pseudomonadati; Pseudomonadota; Alphaproteobacteria; Hyphomicrobiales; Alloboseaceae. The record is from RNAcentral.